Molecule: long non-coding RNA, 946 nt
Filed under: Panax ginseng (ginseng)
Lineage: Eukaryota; Viridiplantae; Streptophyta; Magnoliopsida; Apiales; Araliaceae
Description: long non-coding RNA (PGIN_LNC002801)
Source: RNAcentral
ACCAUCCGAAAAAUCUCGUCGCAUAUCGCGGCCCACUGCUCCGGAGGGAUACCAGUACUCUCGGCGGUGGCACCAGCUGCAACGUCCUGCACAAGCUGAUGGAGGCGAGAACGGCUGGGCAGGUCCUAACGAUGGAACAACGCAUCGGUCUCAAACCUCUCCGACACCGCAGCCAUAACACGCUGGAACAAAGCAUUGUCUAAGCCAACGCCCGUAUGUGAUGGUCCCACGGGGGCUUUCGAACGCAGACGCCGGCUAGAGCCUACAAAAAUAAAUAUAACAUGAAUAAUAUGGCAAAUUUUCUUUAUUCAUAAACAAGAAAUAAACUAAAAAUAUUAUACCUCCUUACAGUGUAUAGGCUGGUAUCCUCGAUAACCCUAGCACUCGAUACCGGCCCGCUAGUACUAGUGGGAGUAUCCUGAGAUGGGACCCAAAGAGCCGUCUCCUCGUCCUGUGAUAAACUAAUCUCGGGCGGAGGGAUGGUGGAAUCUAACGUCUCAGCAUCGCCCCUAGCAACCUACAACUCGGCUAUACGCUGGUUGUGGAUCUUCUCAAACCGCUCCUGUAAUUUUAUAUAUGUACAUGUGAGUUAUCUUGGUAUCAUCAUAUAAAUUACGUAAUAUUAUCCUAAAUAAUAUUUAUUAUAGUAAAUGUAUUACUCGUAUAGCUAGUGCUGCUGGAGACAUCGUCGUCCCCGAAGUAGAGCCCUUCGGCGUAUGGACUCUAUCCCAGAACUCCAUCAUAGUAGGAGGUCGGCUCAAGCUACUCCGCAUGGCCUAAAUCAUAUACAUCAAAUAAUAUCACCUUAAUUUACUAUAGUUUCAGUUUAAUAUUAAACUAAACUAAAGGUAAAUACAUACCGCCUUAACCUCCUGAAACGACUGCGAGCCAGAAGUAUGUACAACUCGCAGCUUGCCUCGAUUCUUCUUCAUCUGCUCUAACUUGG